Molecule: ribosomal RNA, 783 nt
Filed under: Triticum aestivum (bread wheat)
Lineage: Eukaryota; Viridiplantae; Streptophyta; Magnoliopsida; Poales; Poaceae
Description: partial small subunit ribosomal RNA
Source: RNAcentral
UUGCUGCGGGAGGAGAAGGGCGUCUCUGUGGCAAUUCCACCGGCUCCGUCGGACAAUCAUGGUGAGCUAUCUCGCUGGCUCGUUGAAUGGUUUGCUGCUGCUGACGGGGACGAGCGGGAGGCAAUGAUUCAGGCCACUUAUGGACUAUGGCUCGCUAGGAAUGCAGCAAGAGAUGGGAAGAGGAUUGAUCAACCACAUGAAAUAAUGGAGUCAGUUUGCUCUCACAUGGCGGAAUGGAACAGCGUGCAUCAAUCCCCCUCGGUAAAAUUACCUCAUUCGGUAACCAAAACCUUGGAAGCACCUGAAGUUGGAUGGGUGAAGAUUAAUUCAGAUGGUGCAGUGCAUAAAGGAGGGAGUAAGGUUGGCGGUGGAGCUGUGCUUCGGGACCAUAAUGGGGCAUUUCUGGCCGGAGUGUGCCAUCUUUUUCCACACAUUCUGGAGCCUGAAGCAGCGGAGAUUUUGGCGUGUAGAAGAGCGCUGCAGGUUGCAGAGGAGAUCAAUGUACAGAACGUCCAUUUGGAGCUGGAUUGUUUGCCGGUGGUGCAAAUGAUCAACCAGAAGGGCAUCAAUUAUUCGGGACUGGGACCAUGGAUUCAGGAAAUCAAACACAUGCUGGAGACGAAGGAUCAGUACAAAGUGACGUGGGUUAGACGCACGGGUAAUGUUGCCGCGCAUAAAUUAGCAAGAGUAGGGGUAGGGGAUGAAUUGUGUAAGGUUUGGUUGGGGGUUCCCCCAGACUGCAUCUUGGAUGUAAUUUCGGAUGACAUUCCGAGCUACACUUAG